GUGCUUAUUCCAGGACUUUGACGCAUAGCCAAGCAGAACGGAAUUGUCAAAAGCCCCAUGUGUCGUGUCUCAUGACUCAUCUUUUCCCACGCCCCUUUUUACGUCGUCUGCCGAAGAAGUUUUCCAUCAAGAAUGUAACUUAACAACUGCUUAACAAAGAAUUGAGAAGAAUGGAACAAAAGUCUUCCAUCAACAAAAACAGAUAUGGAGAGCUUCCAGCUGCAUCAUUCUUCUCUCCUGUCCUUGCGUACGUUUAAGCGAGUGCAAAGGUAUCCAUAUGGUAUGGAGACGUCGUAUAUAUUCUACCUCCAGAAGUCACCACUACUGUAAUCAUUCAUUUGGCCAUCAAGUCAAGGGCUCUGGGUUCGCAUUUUUGGUCAUUGUUUUUGACGUUUGAUGAAAUCUCUUUGGGUCGCACUGGCCUUCGUCCCAUCUAUGAAUUACCAUUUAGGUUAACCAAUCAAGUAAAUAUCGCCAUUGGUCUGCACUCUGCAGAAGCAAUGUCAUUUUUUGCUGCCUUUAAAAGUGGUUCCACUGGUUCUAGCCACUGACUGACCGUUCUGUGUAUUUCUUUUAAAUUUGA
This is a long non-coding RNA of Daphnia pulicaria, 583 nucleotides long. RefSeq lists it as uncharacterized. The transcript has 3 exons. Lineage: Eukaryota; Metazoa; Arthropoda; Branchiopoda; Diplostraca; Daphniidae. The record is from RefSeq and is a predicted model, not a curated record.